GAGUGGCGCACGGGUGCGUAACGCGUGAGCAACCUACCUCUAUCAGGGGGAUAGCCUCUCGAAAGAGAGAUUAACACCGCAUAAUAUCAACAGUUCGCAUGUUCAGUUGAUUAAAUAUUUAUAGGAUAGAGAUGGGCUCGCGUGACAUUANCUAGUUGGUAGGGUAACGGCUUACCAAGGCGACGAUGUCUAGGGGCUCUGAGAGGAGAAUCCCCCACACUGGUACUGAGACACGGACCAGACUCCUACGGGAGGCAGCAGUAAGGAAUAUUGGUCAAUGGGCGGAAGCCUGAACCAGCCAUGCCGCGUGCAGGAUGACUGCCCUAUGGGUUGUAAACUGCUUUUGUCCAGGAAUAAACCUAAAUACGUGUAUUUAGCUGAAUGUACUGGCAAGAAUAAGGAUCGGCUACCUCCGUGCCAGCAGCCGCGGCCAACCACGGAGGAUCCGAGC
RNAcentral lists this ribosomal RNA (451 nucleotides) under uncultured Bacteroidota bacterium. Its description in RNAcentral is "bacterial SSU rRNA". It matches the Rfam family "Bacterial small subunit ribosomal RNA", at positions 93 to 539 of the family's 1533-position model. The record is from RNAcentral. Lineage: Bacteria; Pseudomonadati; Bacteroidota.